AACGCGAAGAACCUUACCAAGGCUUGACAUAUACCGGAAACGGCUAGAGAUAGUCGCCCCCUUGUGGUCGGUAUACAGGUGGUGCAUGGUUGUCGUCAGCUCGUGUCGUGAGAUGUUGGGUUAAGUCCCGCAACGAGCGCAACCCUUGUUCUGUGUUGCCAGCAUGCCCUUCGGGGUGAUGGGGACUCACAGGAGACUGCCGGGGUCAACUCGGAGGAAGGUGGGGACGACGUCAAAUCAUCAUGCCCCUUAUGUCUUGGGCUGCACACGUGCUACAAUGGUCGGUACAAAGGGCUGCGAUGCCGCGAGGCGGAGCGAAUCCCAAAAAGCCGGCCUCAGUUCGGAUUGGGGUCUGCAACUCGACCCCAUGAAGUUGGAGUUGCUAGUAAUCGCAGAUCAGCAUGCUGCGGUGAAUACGUUCCCGGGCCUUGUACACACCG
Molecule: ribosomal RNA, 440 nt
Filed under: uncultured bacterium
Lineage: Bacteria
Description: bacterial SSU rRNA
Rfam family: Bacterial small subunit ribosomal RNA
Source: RNAcentral